RNAcentral lists this ribosomal RNA (715 nucleotides) under Lutibacter sp. RNAcentral describes it as "bacterial SSU rRNA". It matches the Rfam family "Bacterial small subunit ribosomal RNA", at positions 28 to 734 of the family's 1533-position model. Lineage: Bacteria; Pseudomonadati; Bacteroidota; Flavobacteriia; Flavobacteriales; Flavobacteriaceae. The record is from RNAcentral.
GAUGAACGCUAGCGGCAGGCUUAACACAUGCAAGUCGAGGGGUAACAGGGAAGAGCUUGCUUUUCCGCUGACGACCGGCGCACGGGUGAGUAACGCGUAUAGAACCUACCUUUUACAGGGGAAUAGCCCAGAGAAAUUUGGAUUAAUGCCCUAUAGUAUUAUUGAAUGGCAUCAUUUAGUAAUUAAACAUUUAUGGGUAAAAGAUGGCUAUGCGUUCUAUUAGCUAGAUGGUAAGGUAACGGCUUACCAUGGCAACGAUAGAUAGGGGUCCUGAGAGGGAGAUCCCCCACACUGGUACUGAGACACGGACCAGACUCCUACGGGAGGCAGCAGUGAGGAAUAUUGGACAAUGGAGGCAACUCUGAUCCAGCCAUGCCGCGUGCAGGAAGACGGCCCUAUGGGUUGUAAACUGCUUUUAUACGGGAAGAAACCCAACUACGUGUAGUUGGCUGACGGUACCGUAAGAAUAAGCACCGGCUAACUCCGUGCCAGCAGCCGCGGUAAUACGGAGGGUGCAAGCGUUAUCCGGAAUCAUUGGGUUUAAAGGGUCCGUAGGCGGGCUAAUAAGUCAGGGGUGAAAUCCAACAGCUUAACUGUUGAACUGCCUUUGAUACUGUUAGUCUUGAAUUAUAUGGAAGUAGAUAGAAUGUGUAGUGUAGCGGUGAAAUGCUUAGAGAUUACACAGAAUACCGAUUGCGAAGGCAGUCUACUACGU